AAAUUGAAGAGUUUGAUCAUGGCUCAGAUUGAACGCUGGCGGCAGGCCUAACACAUGCAAGUCGAACGGUAACAGGAAGCAGCUUGCUGCUUYGCUGACGAGUGGCGGACGGGUGAGUAAUGUCUGGGAAACUGCCUGAUGGAGGGGGAUAACUACUGGAAACGGUAGCUAAUACCGCAUAACGUCGCAAGACCAAAGAGGGGGACCUUCGGGCCUCUUGCCAUCGGAUGUGCCCAGAUGGGAUUAGCUAGUAGGUGGGGUAACGGCUCACCUAGGCGACGAUCCCUAGCUGGUCUGAGAGGAUGACCAGCCACACUGGAACUGAGACACGGUCCAGACUCCUACGGGAGGCAGCAGUGGGGAAUAUUGCACAAUGGGCGCAAGCCUGAUGCCAAGCCUGAUGC
RNAcentral lists this ribosomal RNA (404 nucleotides) under Enterobacter hormaechei. RNAcentral's name for it is "bacterial SSU rRNA". Lineage: Bacteria; Pseudomonadati; Pseudomonadota; Gammaproteobacteria; Enterobacterales; Enterobacteriaceae. The record is from RNAcentral.